Molecule: long non-coding RNA, 1213 nt
Filed under: Fragaria vesca (wild strawberry)
Lineage: Eukaryota; Viridiplantae; Streptophyta; Magnoliopsida; Rosales; Rosaceae
Description: long non-coding RNA (FVES_LNC002423)
Source: RNAcentral
CUCUCUCUCUCUCUCUAAGAGUUCUGAAAUUCAAAAUUGGUCUGGGCUCCGGUGCGGCAACCACCGCAAGGUAAAACCCUCAAGCCUUCCCUAAAGUAGUCUGGGGUUCACAUCCAAAACCAAUUGGCAAUGGGUGGAGUGGCCCAAACCCUUAUUAACCCACAGGUAAGGUCCCAUAUUCCCGAUGUGGGAUAUAUAUCUCAACACGCCCCCGCACGUGUGGCGAAUCUUUAAGCCUAACACGUGGACAACAUUUGGGUGACGUAGAGUUUGUGUGGCCAUUGGGCUUCACACGUGGACGUGGGUAACCCGCUCUGAUACCAUGAUAAAAUAGUCUGGGGUUCAAAUCCAAAAUCAAUUGGCAAUGGGUGGAGUGGCCCAAACCCUUAUUAACCCACAGGUAAGGUCCCAUAUUCUCGAUGUGGGAUAUAUAUCUCAACAAAUUUCAUAUCUCGGUUUUUUAUUUUGGUUUUCGUUGAUUCAAUUUCAGAUAUAUGCGCGACUUUGGGUGGGUCUCGGAUGGUGUGGGUUUCAUAUGGGUGUUGCCAUUUGAUCAAGGUGUCCUAGAGUUCCUUUCUUAGAGCAAUUGCACCAGGCGACUGAUUGGAUGACCAAUCAAUGAAAAUGAAGAAAAGAAAGAAUGCAGCGGUAUGGAAUCAGUCGACCAAUUGAUGGGUCCCACUAAGUCGACCAAUUCAAUGACCAAAAAUUGGCAACUCUAUUGCCCGACCGAUUAUAUGGCUCCCACACUCACGUGGGCUUCUACCAAAGGUUAGGAUUGAUUGUUAUAAAUCUAACAGUCAUUAUUCAAAUGAGAUUCUAAUUUUAAAAGCCAAAUAAUAUAUUGGCAUUAGAGUUGCAUUUUAUUGGUACACUGUGCAUUACAAAACUGAAUGUAAUUGCUAAUAUCUGAUGAAUAGUAGAUUGACAUGUACCAAUUUUGUUAGCAAAUUAGCAAUUGCCCUUGGUUCAUGUGUGCAACUGCUCUUAUAGGAGAGUUGGUGGUAUUUAACUGGACUUGGUGGCAUUUACUGUUGGCUUAGUUCUUUUUCUCACAUUGGAGCCAUUGGGAAGGAGUUUCAUGAUUCUGCAAUCUGCAACAAAGUUCUGGCUGAGAUUUCAUAACUGGGAAUUGGAUAUAACACAUAGUCGGAUACAAUAUGAUUGAAAGGGGCAAUUGCCUUCCUAAUGUUUUUACUUUCAAUUCUUUCUU